Non-coding RNA from Pelobates cultripes (western spadefoot toad), 825 nucleotides. NCBI's taxonomy places the organism in Eukaryota, Metazoa, Chordata, Amphibia, Anura, Pelobatidae. The record is from the annotation of a GenBank genome assembly.
CCUCACUUAAAACCAGGUGGGGUGCCUCUGUUACCGCCAUCACCUGGGAAGAAUGGGUCCCCAAGUGCCCGGGAUCCAAACCCAACAUUGUCAAACCCCUUCGAACAAACACCUGCGGGAAUUGAAUCGUGACGGCACCGAUCUGUCCCCUUUUACCAGUAAGCCACCCGGGAUGUCCGGGCAAAGCUCCAAGUAGCAUGAUGCGCUUAACACCGGGCGUACCCCUGACCCCGGCAGGGAAUAUAGCUUUACCAAACCUCCUUUACCAGACACAUUCGUUCUUGAACAACCCUACUGAAUCGUUACCUUAACCGACUAAGGUUAGACAACCGAGUGUAGAACUCCCCAACACCUGCCCGAAGGCACUCACCAGUUCCCCAAUCCAAAUUGCCCCAAGCCUCCGAGAAGGCCACCGCAAGCAAACUCACUGCAAAAGUAGAGUAAUACACCACCAGGCGUUGCGUUACCCAAGGAAACCCGCCGCCCGGCACCGACAUAUUUCAUACCUCUCCGUAAGACCUGCGAUGCCUGACGGACGUGACAACGUUCCGUCACUUGCUCCCAAUCAGUCAGUUUAAACCCUAAGGACAAUGCCACCAUGCUCCUGUCCCUUGCUGAUGGAGCUAACGCUGAACGAACAAACGGCUUAGGAACCACAGCAAGGUAUCCCUUCGACCCUCCUUUGACUGGGCCCCCACAGUGAAACCAACCGCCUUGUCCCACAUAUCUCAAACGUUCACAUAGGCAGUCCCUGUGCCCGGUGCCAUAGGAUUCUGUAUCGAUCCUCCAAGCAUGGCGUCUCGAGCUACCACAUUUCCUCCAGAC